RNAcentral lists this ribosomal RNA (253 nucleotides) under uncultured bacterium. Its description in RNAcentral is "partial 16S ribosomal RNA". It matches the Rfam family "Bacterial small subunit ribosomal RNA", at positions 524 to 776 of the family's 1533-position model. The record is from RNAcentral.
UACAGAGGUCUCAAGCGUUGUUCAGAUUCAUUGGGCGUAAAGGGAGCGUAGGUGGCGGGGUUAGUCAGGUGUGAAAUCUCGGGGCUCAACCCCGAAACUGCACUUGAUACUGCCUUGCUAGAGUACUGGAGAGGAGAUUGGAAUUUACGGUGUAGCAGUGAAAUGCGUAGAUAUCGUAAGGAAGACCAGUGGCGAAGGCGAAUCUCUGGACAGUUACUGACACUGAGGCUCGAAGGCCAGGGGAGCAAACGGG